RNAcentral lists this ribosomal RNA (468 nucleotides) under uncultured bacterium. Its description in RNAcentral is "partial 16S ribosomal RNA". It matches the Rfam family "Bacterial small subunit ribosomal RNA", at positions 28 to 507 of the family's 1533-position model. The record is from RNAcentral.
GACGAACGCUGGCGGCGUGCUUAACACAUGCGAGUCGAACGGAAAGGCCCUGCUUUUGUGGGGUGCUCGAGUGGCGAACGGGUGAGUAACACGUGAGUAACCUGCCCUUGACUUUGGGAUAACUUCAGGAAACUGGGGCUAAUACCGGAUAGGAGCUCCUGCUGCAUGGUGGGGGUUGGAAAGUUUCGGCGGUUGGGGAUGGACUCGCGGCUUAUCAGCUUGUUGGUGGGGUAGUGGCUUACCAAGGCUUUGACGGGUAGCCGGCCUGGGAGGGUGACCGGCCACACUGGGACUGAGAUACGGCCCAGACUCCUACGGGAGGCAGCAGUGGGGAAUAUUGCACAAUGGGCGGAAGCCUGAUGCAGCAACGCCGCGUGCGGGAUGACGGCCUUCGGGUUGUAAACCGCUUCCGCCUGUGACGAAGCGUGAGUGACGGUAAUGGGUAAAGAAGCACCGGCUAACUACGUG